AGUGCUGGGCACACACACACACACUCACUCUGAAGUGGAAUACAUGGCUACAUCUACUCCAAGAAGAGCUAUUAGUGAUCAGAGGCAGCAUUUAGUGGACGAGGAAGACAAAACAAAUACAAAUAUUUUAAAAAGCCACUUUUCUACAAAAACACUCUGCAUGUCCAAAUCCAGAGGAGGGCUGAUUCAGGCCUUCAUCCUUCUGCACCAGAAUUGCACCCCUGCGGCCAAGGAAGAUCAGAGCUGAUUCAGAGAUGGCCUCCACGGAAAGAACAGUCCCCCCUAAGGAGGCAAGGAUGGGAGUGUGUCUGUGUGUAUGCGCAGAACAUCAUUUACAUGCCUCUGGUGCAUUGGAGGCAAGAUGCAAAGCCAAAGACCUUUAGCCACAUGAGAAGUGUAAUUUCUCCAUAACUGCACACCCUGCUAGCUCUUUUUGCUUACUUAUAAAAUGACUUUGGUUUGUUUAAUAUUUUUAAAACGAAUGUUAAUUUUUCUCCUUACCAAUUUAUCUGAAUUGCCUCAGUGUAAAAAAUAGCUAAAAAGAUUACUCUAUUACAUAUACUGUGUUUAAAAGUACUUAGGCCUGCUCUACACUGGGGGGGGGGGUCGAUCUAAGUUACGCAACUUCAGCUCUGUGAAUAACGUAACCUAAGUCAACACACUUAGAUCUACUUACCAGGGUGUCUUCUCUGUGGUAGGUCGACUGCUGAUGCUCCCCCAUCGACUCCACCUACGCUUCUUGCCAGGGCCGGCCCACAACAUUCUGGCACCUGAGGCAGGGAGCUCAAAUGGCGCCCCCAAACCCCCUCGCUUGGGCCAAAACUUUGAAAGGUCUCAAUUCUGCCUUCUUCCUGUUCUACUCCUCUCAUGGUACUGCUCUGUUGCCUACCCCAAUAAAGGAGAACAACUUAAAAUGUCUUGUUCAAAAAUUUUAAGUAACAUUUAACUUUCAAACGCCUGAACAACGAAUGUAACUUUUCUUGUCUGCAUAGUAAACACUGG
Long non-coding RNA from Caretta caretta (loggerhead turtle), 1002 nucleotides. RefSeq lists it as uncharacterized. The record is from RefSeq and is a predicted model, not a curated record. Lineage: Eukaryota; Metazoa; Chordata; Testudines; Cheloniidae.